GCCUGGGUGGCUCAGUCGGUUAAGUGUCUGACUUUGGCUCAGGUCAUGAUGUCAUGGUUCGUGGGUUUGAGCCCCACAUCGGGCU
Molecule: transfer RNA, 85 nt
Filed under: Felis catus (domestic cat)
Lineage: Eukaryota; Metazoa; Chordata; Mammalia; Carnivora; Felidae
Rfam family: tRNA
About the family: Transfer RNA (tRNA) molecules are approximately 80 nucleotides in length. Their secondary structure includes four short double-helical elements and three loops (D, anti-codon, and T loops).
Source: Rfam by way of RNAcentral